UGGAAGGCCGCGUGCACUGAACAGGAAGUGCACGGCGCGCGCCGCUCGCCCGCUCCCCGUGCCGCCCCCGGGUCGCCUGCCCUGCGGGCGGGGUCUGCCCUCCCCUGCGGCCGCGGCGGCGCGGGACUCGCUGGGAGCCGAUUUCUGAUGCAUCUCGGCCCCCCGCCACUGUCUACGCCCGACCCUCGGAAACGCGCCCCCGCGCCCUGCCCCGCCACCCCCGCUGCGGCGGAAGCCCCGGGUUGCGUGGGGAUGCGCACUGACCCGCACUUGCUUCCGGGGAAACCGCGGUCCCCCGUCCCUCUCCACCCGGCGGGCGGACCCCAAUGCGCCCGGAGCGCGGUCGGUGUUGCCGGGAGUGCGGCUUUUCCCAGCCCACCCUACCCGCCCCCCCCCCCCCCGGCUUAUCUCGGGUUCGCCCAGAGUUGCGCAGUGGGUCGGCGCUAAGUGCGGGCGCGAUAUCCGCAGCCCGGCCCGCGGAAAACGCGGAGUUCCUAGGACUGCGGAAAGCAGUGGGUGCGGAGAGGGCUGGAAACCCCGGGCGAGGCUUCCACGUGCCACCGCGUCGCCACUCUGGGGCGGCCCGUAGUAGCCGAGGGCCGGGGGGCUUGGGUGGUGCGGGCCCCCUUCCGAGCGCCCCGGGAUGGCGCGACCUUGGCUCGCGGCUGGAAAUGGGAUGAAUGCUCGGUCGGGAGACGCCUCCUUCCCCGCUCUAGGUUCUGAGGACGUAGUGACCCCAAAAGUCACUGGAGCGCCCUGAAUGCUGGCGUCAGCUCCGCCUCUCCCCCUCAUCAGAGAAAGAACGUGAGGAGGCGGCCUUAACUCUUGUCCAGUCCAGAAUGAAGCCAGACUGGAAAAUCCUGGAGCGCUCCUUGCUUGACAGAAGAUUGCUCUUCCUCCAUAAUGCCAGUUGACCAUGGGUCGUCCUGCUCGUGCAAUCCAACAAGUACUUUGGAUUAAGAUAAAGUGGUCAUAUAGGACGCCCCACUCCCCACAUGGCCAUAGGAGCGGGCUGGUAGGGGGCUGCCGGUGAAACCGUUGUGAGUGACGCGGCAGUCUGAGAUGCCAGCUCGUGCAGCUUCCUCACGCCCUGUGAUUUUGCUCAGCCUCCAUCCUCUUGCAACGGACUGCUGCUCGUCUGUUCAGCCUUGUGACUCGGUGGGUCCCAUAGGCCCUAGGUCCCCCGGGGGCCCUUCCAGGUGCAUGCACAGUUGGUGUUCCAGGGUCAAGUGUUCCCUCUACCAGGAGCCUAUUUCUCAAAAGGAGCAUGGUUCCCUGCUGUAGCUGGCAUGGCCGUGCUCCAGACCAUUGCUCCUGCAUUGGGAUUCUCCCCUGGCUGGUCAUGACCUCCAUGCUGCAUUUACUCCCGCUGUUGAGACCCCCACCACUGCCGUGGACUCAUCAACCCCCUCCCAGGCCACCAGCCCCACCUGCCCUAGCUCUCCCCCAGCCCCAUUCCCCAGUUCUACCUGGCAGUGUCUCCCCCAGGAGGUGGGCAGGCUGGCCUCUGUGGCCCAUGAGCAUGCUAUGGGGGUUGAAUUGUAUCCCCCAGAGACACAUGUUGAAACCAUAUGCCUGGCACCUGUGAAUGUGACCUUGCCUGGAAAUUGGGUCAUUGCCGAUGUCAUCUGGUUAACUAGGGGGAGGUCAUCAAGGUGGCCCCUAACCUAGAUGACGGGGUCCUUAUGAGAAGAGAGGAGACACAGACACGCAGCGAGGGGAACGCCUUGUGAAGACGCACGCGCACGGAGGCCACACAGAAGCCACGUGAGGGUGGAGACUGGUCGGAGUGAUGCAGCACCAGGAUCUGAGAGCCAGGCACCGAGCACCUCCUCCCUGAGAGCCUCGUGGGCUCUGCUGAUGGCCCGGGUGACCCGUGAUUUCGGACUUCUAGCCUCCAGAACUGCAAGGGACUGAGUUAUGUUAUGAGCCACCCAGGCCGUGACACUUGUGACAGCAGCCGUGGAAACUGAUACACACACCUUUCUCGGCUGCCCCCCUGCACUUUGUCCUGCGUCCUCUCCUGCCUGGAAGCCCCCCUCCCCCUCUCCUCCACGUACCCACCACUCCCUUUGUCCCUGUCGGGGCACCCAAAUUUCCCUUGGAACACUCGGGCUCUCGCUCACCCCCUACCCUGCUGCGUUCUUCCAUCUACGGGCGGCGCUGUACCCCUUAGCACUUAAUUUUAAACUGCCCCCUUGAUUUAUGUGUAUUUCCCACUUGGCUCCGUGAAAGGAUUUUAGGCAGCUGCUGCUUCCCGUUGCUGGCUAAAAGGCUAUUUCUGCUGUAUUUUUCAAGACUGCCCCGAUUGGUUUUGGAACCAAGUAGGGUCUGACCUCAGCCCUCAGGGUAGAGAGCACACGGCACGUCUCCACGUGGGGUUAGGGCCUGCCUGAGAGGGGACCGGAUCACAGGGGUGCAGGCCUCCGAAAAACCCAGCUAUCGGGGGCCCAGCCAUGCCCAGCAUCUGACUCGAUGCUCUGUUAUGGUCAGUCUUCAAGGCUCUGACUCUGUGAUUUAACCAGCCCGAGUGGCACGGGGACCACACCAGAGGCUAUGAGAGACGCAGUCUGUUGGGGAUUUGGGCCGAGCCCCAUAUUUGAACCCACCGAGCCUCUAACUCCGAAGGUCCUUUAAUAGCUCUCAGGAGAAAAAAAAAACAAAACGCAGAUCUUACCAUGUGAAAGUUAAUGCACAGGAAGGGGACAGGAGGACCCAUUCCAAAUGUAAAUCAAGGACAAUUUACAUUUAGCAACAGCCACAUUUAGCACCCAUAGCUUCAAUUUUAAUUAAGGCAGAGUGUCUCAUCUCCAAUCAAGGCCAGAGAAUUAGCACAUUCUCGUGACACAUCAUGUCAUCUGGCAGAGCGGCUUUGCGGGGAGCCCCUGGUGUGACAGCCGGCUGGGGACCAGCUGUGCUCUUGGUGGCGCCCGGUGGCUGUGCCCUGCCUCCCGGAGGACUCCUUCUGACCUGCAGUGUGUGAGCUGAGUGUAGCAACAACCCCAUCACGGGACCCUCCGAGGCCCCCGCUCUGUCUCCCCUUUUGGUGGGGAAAGAUUUGUCACCCGCUCCCACCCCAGCACCGACAGCCGUGCGUGCCUCAGCUUCCUCAUCUGCACAGUGGGCAUCUGCCUCACCUGGCCCUUUGCUCUGAGCCUUGAAGGAGGAGGUGUGUGGGCCAGCAGUUUGCAGGACGUGAAGCCCUCUCUAAAUUGCUCAUCAUCCCCAUAUGUCCCGUGUGUCAGAGAAGCCUGUGAAACUGUCAUCCUUUGCUUUGUCGUGCCUGCUGGGAGGGGCGUUUCAGAGACCCCGGGCAGGAGUGACGUCCAGCUGGAGCAGAGGCAGCUGACCACGUGGGACCAGGACGUGGGCCUCGGCCCUAGGAUGUCUGGGCCCCGCGCGAUCCUUCUGGUUACAGAAUCUGCAGUGACGUCACAGCCCCCAUCGAAUGGUGCCAGGCUGGCCCCUCCCCAUCCGGUGCUGUGGCCUCCUCCCACAGGGACGGGGUCUUCAGGCUCCUCACGAAGGACAGCCCUCCACUUCAGGCAAUCCUGGAGGUUUACAGACAGGACCCCCGAAACCCAGCCUUCCUGCCUUACAGUAUUAGGAUGGCUGGGUGCCUCUUUCCCCUGAGGCUGUUCUUAACUAGCCCAGGGACAGAAACGUCCCACCCUUUUCACCAUCAGUGGGCUUUGGGGGGGGUGUGAAACCAGUGCCCACCUCCCACCCAGCCCAGAGGAAGUUGGGUCAUAAAGAGCAUUUUCCAAAACACGUAGGAAAAAAAUCACAGUUCAUCACAAAUUCACAAAUAUACGCCUGCAAAUUUAGCAGUGCUGUCUUCAGAAAGGCAGGUACCCUUCCUCAACCUCAGGAAGUGCAGAGAUCAGGACGCUCGGCUCUCUGCGGUGCCGGGGUCUCUGGUGCUACCCCCCAGCUUGCUGUCCAGUCCUGUUUCUGAUCCUUGUUUUAGUGGCUCUAUUAUAUUGUGCCUUUUACUGUACAUGAUCUCAGAUGGUUUUCUCCUGAGUAGGAGAGGUACAGAUCACCCAUCUUAUUUAUAACUGCAGCGAAGAUCAGAAUCAGAGUGUAUAAAUUGGGGAGGAAUGUGGAGGAAAAGAUGCUGGGCAAACAGGCUGCUGUUGGCACCUCGUUUUUGCCUUCCCCUUGGUUUCGAUGACCCUGUAGCUUCGGCCAGACAGGCGCUCAGGAAGUAGCUAAUGAUUCGGCCAAAGGCAUUUAUUGACCACGUCAUUUCCACGCGGCCAGCACGGACCGUGCUCCCUGGAGGACAUACAGGAAAAAGUGCAGGCCCCACACCCACCAAGAGGAGAUGAGAGGGGCCCUCGUGGAGGAAUGCAGCCAGUCCCUGACCAGCGGGAAUUGUCACAGGAGCUAACAUUUAUUAUGUGCCUGUGUGGGACAGCUUUGUGCUGGGUGCUCUCGGCCCACCUGUGACCUCUCACACGUCCUUCGGUGGAGGGUCCUGUCACUGUUUCACAGAUGAAGACAUAGAGAUCCGGGACACUAACUGUGGUCAAGAUGGUGCCGGAGCAAGGGCCAGAGAGCUUCAACCAGGACCGGACAGCCUGGAUUUCCAGCAGGUGUGUGGGGCCCUGAGGCAGACACCCAGAGCCACGGAGCAGCAGGGAGGGGGUGGCCGGGCCUUGUGGUCGCACCCUGAGGGACCGGCUACAAGCGACAGGGACCCCUGCACUGCCUGGGACCACAGCGCGCCUCCGAGCCAUUCGCUGGGCAGCCGCAAAGCAGCAACCGUGUGUGAGUGCAUCUGCAUCCACACUGGCCAGGCUGGGGUCCAGAUUGGCAGUGGCUGCUGGGAGCUCUGUUGCCUGGAAUUCAGCCUCUAGCCCAAUGGUCAGACGCCAAGUGACAAGACCACUGGGGGAGGAGAUGACUCCGUCAACACCGUCUUCAGUGAGACCGGGGCUGACGGGCAUGUGUCCGGGGCAGCAUUUGUUACCUCCAACCCACAGUUGUUGAAGUUCACACCGGCCCCCACCACCAGCUCCUCCACCCUGCACAGCUCAUCACAGGCAAGGAAGAUGCUGCCAAUAACUGUGCCCGAGGGCACCACACCAUCGGUAAGGAGAUCAUUGACCUUGUCUUGGAUGGAAUUUAGAAACUGGCUGACAGGUGCACAGGUCUUCAGGGCUUCUUGGUUUUCCUCAGCUUUGGAGGAGGAAUGGGGUCUGGGUUCACCUCCUUGCUGAUGGAACCUCUCUCUGGCCAUUAUGGCAACAAGUCCAAGCUGGAGUUCUCCAUUUACCCUCCACCCAGGUUUCCACAGCUGUAGUUGGGCCCUACAACUCCAUGCUCAUGACCCACACCACCCUAGAGUGCUCUGAUUGUGCCUUCAUGGUAGACAACGAGCCCAUCUAUGACGUGUAGAAACCUCCAUACUGAACGCCCAACCUACACUAGCCUGAACGGGUUGAUAGGUCAAAUUGUGUCCUCCAUCACUGCUUCCCUUAGGGUUGACGGAGCCUGGAAGUCCAGACCAGCCUGGUGCCCUGUCUCCGCAUCCAAUUCCCUCUGGCCCCAUCUGCUGAGAAAGCCUCCCACCAUCAGCCUUCUGUAGCAGAGGUCGCCAACGUGUGCUCUGAGCCAGGGAACCGGAGGGUUAAAGGGCACCCUCGCCACGACAAACACACGGCUGUGCGUCUUUCUGCAGAAAGAGAGGAAUUACUUCAGUUAAAAAUGUCACAAAGCGGGGUGCCUGGGUGGCUCAGUCACUUAAGCGUCUGCCUUCGGCUCAGGUCAUGGUCCCGGGGUCCUGGGGUCGAGCCCCACGUCAGGCUCCCUGCUUAGUGGGAAGCCCAUUUCUCCCUCUCCCUCUGCCCCUCCACCCUGCUUGUGUUCCCUCUCUCGCUGUGUCUCUCUGUCAAAUAAAUAAAAUCUUUAAAAAAAAAAAGUGUCACAAAGCUGCUGCCUUUAUGGGGAAGCUCAUUCUGUUUUAAGUAUUGAAAAGUUGUGCUCUGAUCCGUUCAUUUGUAGGUAGCAGUGUAUACUCUCAUAUGCAAUUACUGACCUAUGCUUUAAAACACGACUCUGUUACAGACCCAAGCUGUCCAUUUCUCUGAUGGGUUUGAGUAAAGUAUUCCCUGUCUUAAAUGGAAAAAAAAAAUCUGCUGAAAGGACCGCUGGGAAGUCAUUAUCGGCUCUUCGUGAACAGCAGACUGCCUCCUCGAAGGGUCCACAUUUUUGCGAGCCUGAACCUGCAAUGUGAAGCAUCUGUAUUCGAGGACCCUGAACUCUUGGCGGGGAGGGUCUCUGCCCCCGCGCGCCCUGCCGCCCUCGAUCCUCGCUGUAGGAUUGCAGAGACCAUGGCACAGGGGCUCUCUCAGGACAAAUACUACCGCAGGUAGCAGGAUGAGUCCUUGCAAAGAGGCAACAUUUUCAGAAAGAACUUAAAAAAAUACAUUUCCUGGAAAUUGCCUCUGACAUUUCAGGUCUGCUCCAGGGAAAACCUCUAUGGAAGCUUUAAGUAAUGAACUGUCAUCAUUUGGAUAAUUGCCUUUCAACCAUCAAUGAUUAUCCCACCUCGCGGACUGAAUCAAUUAUAAAACGUAGGGGCUCUUAACCUUGAAAAGCCCACAGGGAUAUGCGAUACGGAGCCAAAUACCAAACAAGCCACUUUAAAACAACUUUCAGUAGUUGCUCCCUAGAGAAAGUUGGGAGCAGGCAGCUUUGUUGUUUGGUUUGUUUGUUAAAUAAGUCUGUCCAAUUUUUGAGUCUUUAUUUGAGUUUUUAACGGAUUUGACUCUUGCAGCAGUAUUUGUGUACAAUUAUGGUAAAAAUAAAAACGAAAUAGAAGCCCCACAGGUGCCUCAUUUCCCCACUUUGGCCUCCCAUCUCCCAGUAUUUGUUACCACGAGGUCACUGUCCCCAACAGUCAGCAGUCCCUGGCUCUUCCCGCUGCCGCCAGAGUGCCUCCUGACCCCAGCGUCACGGUGACUGGAAGGUGAGGAAGAGACAGAUGGGAGCCUGGCUGCUGGCUGGUCCCCGUUCAGCUGAUGGGCCCCGUGAGGGAACCACGUUUCAUCGUUAAAAUGAUGAGUAACAAUGGGAGCAAGAACCAAACCUUUAAAGAAUUCUAACACGAGUUGGGCCUUAGCCCUGUGGGUGGGUGAGGAUGUUGUGUUGCUGUUUUUCAAAGCUGAGCCUCCUCCAAGUUUGUCAUGCAGGUUCAUCAUGCAGCAGCUACAGCUCCACUUCCCAACGCAGAGACCCUACAAGGACCAGGCUCCUGGCGAUCUCCAUCUGCUGAGUUUCCAUCUCAGAUUCAGCCGGUAAGGGCCACGUGGUCGUGAAGCCUGACAUCAGCAAAUCUGUGUCAAAACCUGAACUCUGAUGCAGAAAAACUCAAGGGCAACCUGUCGGAAUUGGCCAGCUAAUUCCCAGCAAUAUUUAGGAAGUCAUCUAGCACUAGGUGAGGCCCAGGACUGAUCACACAUACCAAUCGCUUUACCCACUCCUCCAGGUUCAUACAGGGUGAACGUAGAUUAAUAAAAAUCAGCACACCUGUAUGGGUCAGGGUUUCCCAGACUGAUAGAUGUAUUUUUUUUAUUUUAAGGAAUUGGCUCAUGUGGUGCUGGGGGCUGGCGAUUCUGAAAUCCAGGCCGGCUGACAGGUGGAACCUCGAGCAGAAGUUGGUGCCAUCCCAGUAUGUGUGUAGGGCCUGAGGAACGGCAGAGAGUGGCAAGAACUGUGUCUAUGGUGUGGGCUCUCAUACAUUCAGAACCUACUUCUGUGCUGUCCUCUGAAGGCGCCUCCAUUCAUCAGACGAUCGUAAGACUUUUUUAAAUCACCUUCCGCCUGCAAAACCUGUGCGGGGACCUGCAGGGAAUCUGAAGAAGCAUCUCUUUCAUCCAACUUAAGACACAGUUGAUUGUGUGGCACACCAUUAUUUUAGCAAAUAUUUACUGAGGAAUGAAUACUCUGUGCUCGGAGCUGACGCUUCGAAGAUGAGACACCCAAGGAGGUCACAGCCUAGGACAGAGGCAGACAGACAGCAAACAGUCACCCACAGAGUGGUGAUGCCAAGCCGCUCCGCAACAGACCCAUAACCAAACCUCUGGGCAUCUGGGUGAAGUGCUGGAAAGAGCCCAAAGGCUAAAUAAGGGCUCAAUGCCAUGGCCAGGAGAAGAAAACCAAUUCAGUUUGUUAAGUUCAAGAUGCCUGACGUCAAGAACAUAGGAAGUUGAAGAGAUGGGCAUGGAAGAGCCCAGUGCUGCGGAAGUCAAAGGAAAAGGAUUUCUAGAAGAUAGGCUGGUCAACAGAGUCAAAUGCUUACUCGGUAAGAUCAAACAGGAUGUAGACCAAAAACGGCUGGGGGGUUGACAUGCAGGAAGGCACUGGAAGUUUCUUACCUCUCUUACAGAAACUGUUUUCUGUUGUUUUAGCUUUAUGUUUAUAUUUUCUUUGAUAAAAGUAAACUUGCAGAAUUUGAAAAUAAUAUUCACCUAUAAUUCCACCAUGAUUGGUAACAUUUGGAUGCAUGUAUUUCCAGUCUUUUUUCCGACAAGUGUACAGCUAAUAUCAUUACAUACGUGCAGUCAUACUGUAGACACAGUUUGUGUCCUGAGUUUUCACUUAAUAUCAUUUCCUAUUAUUUACUUAUCUUCUCUCUUCAUGGUUCUAAAUGUGGGCAUUUUCCAGAUUUAGCCAUUAUAAAUAAUGGCUUUAAUAAACUCUUUUUAACGGGCGCCUGGGUGGCUCAGUUGAUUAAGCAUCUGCCUUUGGCUCAGGUCCUGAUCCCGGGGUCCUGGGAUAGAGCUCCAGGUUGGAUUCCCUGCUCAACGGGGAGUCUGCUUCUCCCUUUCCCUUUACCCCUACACCCCCCACCCCUCAUGCUCUCUCUCUC
Mirounga angustirostris (Northern elephant seal) is the source of this 8881-nucleotide long non-coding RNA. RefSeq lists it as uncharacterized. The transcript has 9 exons. The record is from RefSeq and is a predicted model, not a curated record. Lineage: Eukaryota; Metazoa; Chordata; Mammalia; Carnivora; Phocidae.